CAGCCGCCGCGGUAAUACGUAGGUGGCAGGCGUUGUCCGGAAUUAUUGGGCGUAAAGGGCUCGCAGGCGGUUUCUUAAGUCUGAUGUGAAAGCCCCCGGCUCAACCGGGGAGGGUCAUUGGAAACUGGGAAACUUGAGUGCAGAAGAGGAGUGUGGAAUUCCACGUGUAGCGGUGAAAUGCGUAGAGAUGUGGAGGAACACCAGUGGCGAAGGCGACUCUCUGGUCUGUAACUGACGCUGAGGAGCGAAAGCGUGGGGAGCAAACAGGAUUAGAUACCCCCGUAGUCCCUGUCUCUUAUAC
This 301-nucleotide ribosomal RNA is filed under the name uncultured bacterium. RNAcentral's name for it is "partial 16S ribosomal RNA". It matches the Rfam family "Bacterial small subunit ribosomal RNA", at positions 509 to 807 of the family's 1533-position model. The record is from RNAcentral.